UAGGGAAUCUUCCGCAAUGGGCGAAAGCCUGACGGAGCAACGCCGCGUGAGUGAUGAAGGUCUUCGGAUCGUAAAACUCUGUUAUUAGGGAAGAACAAAUGUGUAAGUAACUAUGCACGCCUUGACGGUACCUAAUCAGAAAGCCACGGCUAACUACGUGCCAGCAGCCGCGGUAAUACGUAGGUGGCCAGCGUUAUCCGGAAUUAUUGGGCGUAAAGCGCGCGUAGGCGGUUUUUUAAGUCUGAUGUGAAAGCCCACGGCUCAACCGUGGAGGGUCAUUGGAAACUGGAAAACUUGAGUGCAGAAGAGGAAAGUGGAAUUCCAUGUGUAGCGGUGAAAUGCGCAGAGAUAUGGAGGAACACCAGUGGCGAAGGCGACUUUCUGGUCUGUAACUGACGCUGAUGUGCGAAAGCGUGGGGAUCAAACAGG
This 429-nucleotide ribosomal RNA is filed under the name Actinomycetes bacterium. RNAcentral describes it as "Actinobacteria bacterium partial 16S ribosomal RNA". It matches the Rfam family "Bacterial small subunit ribosomal RNA", at positions 355 to 776 of the family's 1533-position model. Lineage: Bacteria; Bacillati; Actinomycetota; Actinomycetes. The record is from RNAcentral.